Molecule: ribosomal RNA, 254 nt
Filed under: uncultured bacterium
Lineage: Bacteria
Description: partial 16S ribosomal RNA
Rfam family: Bacterial small subunit ribosomal RNA
Source: RNAcentral
CACGUAGGGUGCGAGCGUUGUCCGGAAUUAUUGGGCGUAAAGAGCUCGUAGGCGGUGUGUCGCGUCGGCCGUGAAAACCUGCAGCUUAACUGUGGGCGUGCGGUCGAUACGGGCAUCACUGGAGUUCGGCAGGGGAGACUGGAAUUCCUGGUGUAGCGGUGAAAUGCGCAGAUAUCAGGAGGAACACCGGUGGCGAAGGCGGGUCUCUGGGCCGGAGCUGACGCUGAGGCGCGAAAGCGUGGGGAGCAAACAGG